CCAACAGGGAUUACCUCAGUAACGGCGAGUGAAGCGGUAAAAGCUCAAAUUUGAAAUCUUCGGAAUUGUAAUUUGAUGGAUAAAAUUGCCACGGACAAAAGUUCACUGGAAAGUGACGCCGUAGAGGGUGAUAGCCCCGUUUACGUCCACCGGCACUAUAAUUUUAUUCCAAAGAGUCGGGUUGUUUGGGAAUGCAGCUCAAAGUGGGUGGUAAAUUCCAUCUAAAGCUAAAUAUUGACGAGAGACCGAUAGCGAACAAGUACAGUGAUGGAAAGAUGAAAAGAACUUUGAAAAGAGAGUGAAACAGUACGUGAAAUUGUUGAAAGGGAAGGGGAGGGAAGAUGUUAAAGGGACUCCUUCUUUGUAGGGAUCCCCGCCAAAAAGUCUUUCCUCUCGCCCGUCUUGAAACACGGACCA
This 417-nucleotide ribosomal RNA is filed under the name Metschnikowia lochheadii. RNAcentral describes it as "LSU rRNA". It matches the Rfam family "Eukaryotic large subunit ribosomal RNA", at positions 65 to 668 of the family's 3401-position model. The record is from RNAcentral. Lineage: Eukaryota; Fungi; Ascomycota; Pichiomycetes; Serinales; Metschnikowiaceae.